Ipomoea nil (Japanese morning glory) is the source of this 251-nucleotide long non-coding RNA. RefSeq lists it as uncharacterized. The transcript has 2 exons. Lineage: Eukaryota; Viridiplantae; Streptophyta; Magnoliopsida; Solanales; Convolvulaceae. The record is from RefSeq and is a predicted model, not a curated record.
GCUGAAAGGAAAAUAGGGUGCCUAUUGAAACUGUUUUUUGCUGGGACUGCAACAGUUGUAGCUUAUCAGUUUUUCCCAUACAUGGGAGACAAUCUGUUGAAGCAGUCUGUGACACUUUUACAAGUUAAGGAUCCCUUGUUCAAAAGAAUGGGAGCAUCCAGGUUGGCUCGUUUUGCCAUUGAUGGUAUGUUUGGGCUAGAAUAUCCUGAGGUUAAUAUUAGUGCGUAAUGAUUUGCUUUGUGUUUGAUACA